This 253-nucleotide ribosomal RNA is filed under the name uncultured bacterium. RNAcentral's name for it is "partial 16S ribosomal RNA". It matches the Rfam family "Bacterial small subunit ribosomal RNA", at positions 524 to 776 of the family's 1533-position model. The record is from RNAcentral.
UACGGAGGGUGCAAGCGUUAUCCGGAUUCACUGGGUUUAAAGGGUGCGUAGGUGGGUUGGUAAGUCAGUGGUGAAAUCUCCAGGCUUAACUUGGAAACUGCCAUUGAUACUAUCAAUCUUGAAUACCGUGGAGGUCAGCGGAAUAUGUCAUGUAGCGGUGAAAUGCUUAGAUAUGACAUAGAACACCAAUUGCGAAGGCAGCUUACUACAUAGUUAUUGACACUGAGGCACGAAAGCGUGGGGAUCAAACAGG